Molecule: ribosomal RNA, 371 nt
Filed under: uncultured bacterium
Lineage: Bacteria
Description: bacterial SSU rRNA
Rfam family: Bacterial small subunit ribosomal RNA
Source: RNAcentral
AGAGGUCUCAAGCGUUGUUCGGAUUCAUUGGGCGUAAAGGGUGCGUAGGCGGCGCGGUAAGUCGGGUGUGAAAUCUCGGAGCUUAACUCCGAAACUGCAUUCGAUACUGCCGUGCUUGAGGACUGGAGAGGAGACUGGAAUUUACGGUGUAGCGGUGAAAUGCGUAGAUAUCGUAAGGAAGACCAGUGGCGAAGGCGGGUCUCUGGACAGUUCCUGACGCUGAGGCACGAAGGUCAGGGGAGCAAACGGGAUUAGAUACCCCGGUAGUCCUGACAGUAAACGGUGCACGUUUGGUGUGGGAGGAUUCGACCCCUUCUGCGCCGGAGCUAACGCGUUAAACGUGCCGCCUGGGGAGUACGGUCGCAAGAKUA